Molecule: ribosomal RNA, 207 nt
Filed under: uncultured Silvanigrellales bacterium
Lineage: Bacteria; Pseudomonadati; Bdellovibrionota; Oligoflexia; Silvanigrellales
Description: partial 16S ribosomal RNA
Rfam family: Bacterial small subunit ribosomal RNA
Source: RNAcentral
CGCGUAGGCGGGAUAAUAGGUCGAUUGUGAAAUCCCCGGGCUCAACCUGGGAACUGCAGUCGAAACCAUUAUUCUUGAAUAUCUGAGAGGGUGGGGGAAUACCUAGUGGAGCAGUGAAAUGCGUAGAGAUUAGGUGGAACACCGGAGGCGAAGGCGCCUGCCUGGCAGAAUAUUGACGCUGAGGCGCGAAAGCGUGGGUAGCAAACA